RNAcentral lists this non-coding RNA (103 nucleotides) under Rhodobacter capsulatus. RNAcentral's name for it is "TPP sequence". It matches the Rfam family "TPP riboswitch aptamer (THI element)". From Rfam's summary of the family: Vitamin B(1) in its active form thiamin pyrophosphate (TPP) is an essential coenzyme that is synthesised by coupling of pyrimidine and thiazole moieties in bacteria. The previously detected thiamin-regulatory element, thi box was extended, resulting in a new, highly conserved RNA secondary structure, the THI element, which is widely distributed in eubacteria and also occurs in some archaea. The record is from RNAcentral. RNAcentral also lists the same sequence under 1 other name. Lineage: Bacteria; Pseudomonadati; Pseudomonadota; Alphaproteobacteria; Rhodobacterales.
GGUCUCACCUCGGGGUGCUCUGUCAGGGGCUGAGAUGCGUUUUCGCAAACCCGUUGAACCUGAACCGGUUAAGACCGGCGGAGGGAAGGUAUCCGGGCACUCU